GCACUCCUUUACUAAUUUGUCUAUGGAAAAUUACAAGGUUGCUUCAUACACUUGUGCUUCUUUUGAAUUUGAUCAAGUUCUGCAUCAUUGAGAAUGGGGAACAGGCGACGUCGCAGAGUUAGAAUUAGAAUCGAAUCUCCAGUAUCACAUUCGUUUAUUGCUUCAAACAUUACAACAUCAAAUUCCACUAUGAAUCCUCCAGCUCGAUGUCCAUGACAACAUGUUAAUGUCGGGCGCAUACCUCAUUCUAUUGAUAAUCAGUACAUUCUUACUACUGUUGUUGAUGUUCACCUUGGCUACGCAUUACCUUCCAGUAACGGAUGCAUACGUGCACCUCAAGGAUGUGUGUUGCUAGCAUGGGCAUACCCGGGUAGGACAAAACAAUACCCUAUCAAUUUGGUUUCUGUUGAAACAACAACUGAAGAGUUUACUAGUGGGUUAUCAUACGACACAUCCGCAUAUCUCAAAACUUGUAAGUAUGAUAACCCACUAGGUAAGUAUCAAAAACAUAUCUCAAAACUUGUAUCAAAGCUCGAACCAUCUUCAUAACCAUAAUAAAUCCAUAUCCAUAAAUCCACCAUAUUUGUAAAUUCGUAAUAUAAAUUAUAUUAAAAAACCAUAGAAACCAAUAUAUGCAAAACCAAUAAUUCAUUCUCUUUAAUAAAACAUAAUUUUGAUAAAUAGUAAUUAUAGAAGUCUGGAAAACAUAAUAUAAAGCAUAUUCAAUGCAUGAAAUAUGUAAUGCAUGCUAGGUUAAUGAUUUAUAAAAAAUAUAGUUAAGAAGGGAUCCACUCACUAGUUUUUCC
This 806-nucleotide long non-coding RNA is filed under the name Malus domestica (apple). Its description in RNAcentral is "long non-coding RNA (MDOM_LNC008048)". The record is from RNAcentral. Lineage: Eukaryota; Viridiplantae; Streptophyta; Magnoliopsida; Rosales; Rosaceae.